CGCAAUGGACGAAAGUCUGACGCAGCGACGCCGCGUGGAGGAUGAAGGUUUUCGGAUCGUAAACUCCUGUCAAGAGGGAAGAAACCUAUCGGAAUUAAUACUUUCGGUAAUUGACGGUACCUCUAGAGGAAGCACCGGCUAAUUCAGUGCCAGCAGCCGCGGUAAUACUGAAGGUGCAAGCGUUAAUCGGAAUCACUGGGCGUAAAGCGCUCGUAGGUGGCUUUGUAAGUCAGGUGUGAAAGCCCACGGCUCAACCGUGGAAUUGCACUUGAUACUGCAUCGCUAGAGUAUAGGAGAGGGAAGUGGAAUUUCUGGUGUAGGAGUGAAAUCCGUAGAGAUCAGAAGGAACACCGGUGGCGAAGGCGACUUCCUGGACUAUUACUGACACUGAGGAGCGAAAGCGUGGGGAGCAAACAGGAUUAGAUACCCUGGUAGUCCACGCCGUAAACGAUGGGUACUAGGUGUCGGAGGCUUGACCUUCGGUGCCGUAGUUAACGCGUUAA
This 503-nucleotide ribosomal RNA is filed under the name Desulfovibrio sp. AR1205/00. RNAcentral describes it as "bacterial SSU rRNA". It matches the Rfam family "Bacterial small subunit ribosomal RNA", at positions 367 to 863 of the family's 1533-position model. Lineage: Bacteria; Pseudomonadati; Thermodesulfobacteriota; Desulfovibrionia; Desulfovibrionales; Desulfovibrionaceae. The record is from RNAcentral.